GAAGCCAGGCAGCAGCAGGGGAAGCAUGUGCUGUGAAUGCUACUACCAGUUACUUUCUCCCUGGAGAGAGAAAAAAAGAAGUCGAUGAUCACUUUUAGCUCAGUCUUUGCCCUAAUCUGAAAAUGUAUUUAAUCUUUUUUUUUUUUUUGUCUUUGUCUUUGAAGAAGGAGGUUGGAGUUGGAUCCCAGAUCACCUACUGAAAGCUAUAGCUGUAGUCACACGGGUUAGUCUGCAGUCUGGAGAGCAGCCUGGCUUCUGCUUGUGAGUCUGGUGGAAGCUCUGGAGAGAAGUCCGUACUGAGGUCCUGUGGAAAUGUAUAGGGAGCAUUACUUUCAGAGCAACCUAUAUGGACAGAAGAGGAAGGCAAUGGAGUAUUGGUACUGGAAUAUCAUCUGCCACUUUGGAGAAUUUAGCACUUACUGAAAAAAAUUAAGGAUCGCAGCGAUAUCGUUGUUAACAGAAACAGUUACAGUACAUUGAGUUGGAAAGUGUACACCUGGAAAUACCAACAAAGGCACGGACAAGGUGUGAAAUAACAUUUCAGCUGAUUUUAUGCACUGUAUUAACUCGAUUUCAGUUGAAAAACCUGUUACAUCAUCUGAAGAUGGGCAAGUAAAUUAAUUUUUUAAAUUUAUUACUAUUAUUUUUUGUCUCUGAAGCUUAUAGAAAUGACGUUUUUCAAUAGCAAUUCUGAUGGUUUAUGAGGAAUCUAAAAAUACACGUAGGGGUAAAAGCUUACACAGGGACAACAAGAAGAGAAGUUUUAUUUUCUUC
Molecule: long non-coding RNA, 774 nt
Organism: Gallus gallus (chicken)
Lineage: Eukaryota; Metazoa; Chordata; Aves; Galliformes; Phasianidae
Source: Ensembl